This 904-nucleotide ribosomal RNA is filed under the name Lepiota aff. grangei. RNAcentral describes it as "LSU rRNA". It matches the Rfam family "Eukaryotic large subunit ribosomal RNA", at positions 42 to 933 of the family's 3401-position model. Lineage: Eukaryota; Fungi; Basidiomycota; Agaricomycetes; Agaricales; Agaricaceae. The record is from RNAcentral.
AUCAAUAAGCGGAGGAAAAGAAACUAACAAGGAUUCCCCUAGUAACUGCGAGUGAAGCGGGAAAAGCUCAAAUUUAAAAUCUGGCGGUCUUUGGCCGUCCGAGUUGUAAUCUAGAGAAGUGUUACCCGUGCUGGACCGUGUACAAGUCUCCUGGAAUGGAGCGUCAUAGAGGGUGAGAAUCCCGUCUCUGACACGGACUACCAGGGCUUUGUGGUAUGCUCUCAAAGAGUCGAGUUGUUUGGGAAUGCAGCUCAAAAUGGGUGGUAAAUUCCAUCUAAAGCUAAAUAUUGGCGAGAGACCGAUAGCGAACAAGUACCGUGAGGGAAAGAUGAAAAGAACUUUGGAAAGAGAGUUAAACAGUACGUGAAAUUGCUGAAAGGGAAACGCUUGAAGUCAGUCGCGUUGGCCAGGGAUCAGCCUCGCUCUUGCGUGGUGUACUUUCUGGUUGAUGGGUCAGCAUCAAUUUUGACUGCUGGAAAAAGGCAUAGGGAAUGUGGCAGCUUCGGCUGUGUUAUAGCCCUUUGUCACAUACAGCGGUUGGGAUUGAGGAACUCAGCACGCCGCAAGGCCGGGUUUCGACCACGUUCGUGCUUAGGAUGCUGGCAUAAUGGCUUUAAGCGACCCGUCUUGAAACACGGACCAAGGAGUCUAACAUGCCUGCGAGUGUUUGGGUGGAAAACCCGAGCGCGUAAUGAAAGUGAAAGUUGAGAUCCCUGUCGUGGGGAGCAUCGACGCCCGGACCAGAACUUUUGGGACGGAUCCGCGGUAGAGCAUGUAUGUUGGGACCCGAAAGAUGGUGAACUAUGCCUGAAUAGGGUGAAGCCAGAGGAAACUCUGGUGGAGGCUCGUAGCGAUUCUGACGUGCAAAUCGAUCGUCAAAUUUGGGUAUAGGGGCGAAAGACUA